UACGUAGGGGGCAAGCGUUGUCCGGAUUUAUUGGGCGUAAAGAGCUCGUAGGCGGUUUGUUGCGUCGGCUGUGAAAUCCCGAGGCUCAACCUCGGGUCUGCAGUCGAUACGAGCAAACUAGAGUGUUGCAGGGGGGACUGGAAUUCCUGGUGUAGCGGUGAAAUGCGCAGAUAUCAGGAGGAACACCGGUGGCGAAGGCGGGUCUCUGGGCAACAACUGACGCUGAGGAGCGAAAGCGUGGGGAGCGAACAGG
RNAcentral lists this ribosomal RNA (253 nucleotides) under uncultured bacterium. Its description in RNAcentral is "partial 16S ribosomal RNA". It matches the Rfam family "Bacterial small subunit ribosomal RNA", at positions 524 to 776 of the family's 1533-position model. The record is from RNAcentral.